AGAGGGAGCAAGAGGAGCAAAGGCAUGGAGGGAAGAGGGCCUGGCAUUGUCAGGGAAUGUGACUAGCUGAGUCUGGUGGGAGCAAACAGGCCCAGGAGGUGGUUAGUGGAGGGACAGGCUGAGAGAGGGGCAGGGGCCAGCUCUUGGGCUUCUCUCUGAGUUGGUGAGCCACAGCUGAGGUGGGGACACUGUGCUAUGCCAUCACAGCACAGCCAGCCUCUCUGGAGAUGAGCUAAAUCUGGUGCCACACUGUCUUCACCCUGCAAAGCCCGAGCUACUCCAUGUCCUGGCAGGGGGCCAUGUUAGGGCUGGCCACCUGGGGUGUAACUGAGCCCAGAAACACCCAGCAGCAGGGUGGAGUCAGAACCGCACCUCUGACACUAGCCGCAGGUCUUUGGUUGAGCUCUUAACCUCCCUGGGCCUCAGUUUGUGAAAGGGAACCUGGCAGCAACAUGGCUGCCUUAUAGAACUGUGAGAAUUCGCUGCCUAACACAGUAACCUGUCUCAAAACAUUUACACCCUCCUUUUUGCGUUUGGGAUCCUGGAACGUGGUGAUGUUC
This 560-nucleotide small RNA is filed under the name Pongo abelii (Sumatran orangutan). RNAcentral's name for it is "processed transcript". The record is from RNAcentral. Lineage: Eukaryota; Metazoa; Chordata; Mammalia; Primates; Hominidae.